This 693-nucleotide long non-coding RNA is filed under the name Mus musculus (house mouse). Its description in RNAcentral is "PAXIP1 associated glutamate rich protein 1B". The record is from RNAcentral. Lineage: Eukaryota; Metazoa; Chordata; Mammalia; Rodentia; Muridae.
AUCAGACGAGGAGCCAGAGGCCAAAGAAGAGGAGGAGGAAAAGCCGCACAUGCCUACAGAAUUUGACUUUGAUGAUGAGCCAAUGACACCAAAGGACUCACUGAUUGACAGGAGACGGACACCAGGAAGCUCAGCCCGGAGCCAGAAACGGGAGGCGCGUCUGGAUAAGGUCCUCUCAGACAUGAAGCGCCAUAAGAAACUAGAGGAGCAAAUCCUCCGGACCGGGAGAGACCUCUUCAGCUUAGACUCAGAGGGCCCCAGCCCCACCAGCCCUCCACUCCGAUCCUCAGGAAACAGUCUCUUUCCCAGACAGCGGAAGUACUGACUGGUGCUGCUCCUGCCUACAGGUUAGGCCGGGGCUUGGGAUUCACCAUGGCAACUGAAGAGGCCAUCAUCCGCAUCCCCCCAUACCACUACAUCCAUGUGCUGGACCAGAACAGUAAUGUGUCCCGUGUAGAGGUUGGACCAAAGACCUACAUCCGGCAGGACAAUGAGAGGGUACUGUUUGCCCCAGUUCGCAUGGUGACGGUCCCACCACGCCACUACUGCAUAGUGGCCAACCCUGUGUCCCGGGACGCCCAGAGUUCUGUGUUGUUUGACGUCACAGGACAAGUCCGGCUCCGGCACGCUGACCAGGAGAUCCGACUAGCCCAGGACCCCUUCCCUCUGUACCCAGGGGAGCUGCUGGAAAAG